Molecule: non-coding RNA, 179 nt
Filed under: Endozoicomonas sp. OPT23
Lineage: Bacteria; Pseudomonadati; Pseudomonadota; Gammaproteobacteria; Oceanospirillales; Endozoicomonadaceae
Description: 6S RNA
Rfam family: 6S / SsrS RNA
About the family: E. coli 6S RNA was the first non coding RNA to be sequenced, but its function was unknown until recently. It consists of 184 nucleotides that fold into an extended hairpin structure with a large single-stranded internal bulge. The 6S RNA specifically associates with RNA polymerase holoenzyme containing the sigma70 specificity factor.
Source: RNAcentral
GUCUCCCUGGCCUGUUUGCCAGUCAUAAAAGACCCGGGCCGAUAAUACCAAAUCAGGGGAUUCCUCGUUGGUGCUGGAGUGCAUGUUCACCUUGUAGUGAAAAGCCCGAUUCACCUCAGCAAUCUCCACCGUUGCUUACCGGCAACGGGCUUAAGUGGCAGCGGCAGCUUGGGGAGACU